UACGUAGGGUGCAAGCGUUGUCCGGAAUUAUUGGGCGUAAAGAGCUCGUAGGCGGUUUGUCGCGUCUGCCGUGAAAACUCGGGGCUUAACUCCGGGCCUGCAGUGGGUACGGGCAGACUAGAGUGCGGUAGGGGAGACUGGAAUUCCUGGUGUAGCGGUGAAAUGCGCAGAUAUCAGGAGGAACACCGGUGGCGAAGGCGGGUCUCUGGGCCGUAACUGACGCUGAGGAGCGAAAGCGUGGGGAGCGAACAGGA
This 254-nucleotide ribosomal RNA is filed under the name uncultured bacterium. RNAcentral describes it as "partial 16S ribosomal RNA". It matches the Rfam family "Bacterial small subunit ribosomal RNA", at positions 524 to 777 of the family's 1533-position model. The record is from RNAcentral.